UAGGGAAUCUUCCGCAAUGGACGCAAGUCUGACGGAGCAACGCCGCGUGAGUGAAGAAGGAUUUCGGUUCGUAAAACUCUGUUGUUAGAGAAGAACAGCGCAUAGAGUAACUGUUAUGCGUGUGACGGUAUCUAACCAGAAAGCCACGGCUAACUACGUGCCAGCAGCCGCGGUAAUACGUAGGUGGCAAGCGUUGUCCGGAUUUUUUGGGCGUAAAGCGAGCGCAGGCGGUCAAUUAAGUCUGAUGUGAAAGCCCCCGGCUCAACCGGGGAGGGUCAUUGGAAACUGGUUGACUUGACUGCAGAAGAGGGGAGUGGAAUUCCAUGUGUAGCGGUCAAAGGCGUAGAUAUAUGGAGGAACACCGGUAGCGAAGGCGAAGUUCUGGUCUGUAACUAACGCUGAGGCUCGAAAGCGUGGGUAGCAAUCAGG
This 429-nucleotide ribosomal RNA is filed under the name Bacteroidota bacterium. RNAcentral's name for it is "Bacteroidetes bacterium partial 16S ribosomal RNA". It matches the Rfam family "Bacterial small subunit ribosomal RNA", at positions 355 to 776 of the family's 1533-position model. Lineage: Bacteria; Pseudomonadati; Bacteroidota. The record is from RNAcentral.